Molecule: ribosomal RNA, 445 nt
Filed under: uncultured bacterium
Lineage: Bacteria
Description: partial 16S ribosomal RNA
Rfam family: Bacterial small subunit ribosomal RNA
Source: RNAcentral
GUGAGGAAUAUUGGUCAAUGGACGGAAGUCUGAACCAGCCAUGUCGCGUGCAGGAAUAAGGUCCUAUGGAUUGUAAACUGCUUUUAUUCGGGAAUAAACCUCUUUACGUGUAGGGAGCUGAAGGUACCGAAGGAAUAAGCACCGGCUAACUCCGUGCCAGCAGCCGCGGUAAUACGGAGGGUGCAAGCGUUAUCCGGAAUCAUUGGGUUUAAAGGGUCCGCAGGCGGUCAUAUAAGUCAGUGGUGAAAGCCUACAGCUCAACUGUAGAACUGCCAUUGAUACUGUAUGACUUGAAUUCGAUCGAAGUGGGCGGAAUGUGACAUGUAGCGGUGAAAUGCUUAGAUAUGUCACAGAACACCGAUAGCGAAGGCAGCUCACUAGGUCUGGAUUGACGCUCAGGGACGAAAGCGUGGGGAGCAAACAGGAUUAGAAACCCCAGUAGUCC